Molecule: ribosomal RNA, 301 nt
Filed under: uncultured bacterium
Lineage: Bacteria
Description: partial 16S ribosomal RNA
Rfam family: Bacterial small subunit ribosomal RNA
Source: RNAcentral
CAGCCGCCGCGGGAAAACGUAGGGUGCAAGCGUUAAUCGGAAUUACUGGGCGUAAAGCGUGCGCAGGCGGUUUGUUAAGACAGAUGUGAAAUCCCCGGGCUCAACCUGGGAACUGCAUUUGUGACUGGCAAGCUAGAGUGUGGCAGAGGGUGGUGGAAUUCCGCGUGUAGCAGUGAAAUGCGUAGAUAUGCGGAGGAACACCGAUGGCGAAGGCAGCCCCCUGGGCCAACACUGACGCUCAUGCACGAAAGCGUGGGGAGCAAACAGGAUUAGAUACCCCAGUAGUCCCUGUCUCUUAUAC